Long non-coding RNA from Entelurus aequoreus (snake pipefish), 1859 nucleotides. RefSeq lists it as uncharacterized. The record is from RefSeq and is a predicted model, not a curated record. NCBI's taxonomy places the organism in Eukaryota, Metazoa, Chordata, Actinopteri, Syngnathiformes, Syngnathidae. The transcript has 4 exons.
CCACAAAGUGGUAAAAUGCUCGUAUACACAAUGGUACACAAUAGGCGAGUUUUGACCCUGCUAGCUAAAGAUCCACAGCCAAGAAAAUAAAACUCUGCCAUUGGUGACCACACCGUACAUUCGCCUUUGUUAUGUAACCCUCUAACGUACAGCAAAUGUACAGCAGCGGAAAAAGCCACAAUGCUGCAAGUUACAGAACCUUGUUCCAUGGCAACCACGAUGAGUGAGAUGACAGCAACAGCUCAGGGGCUCUGGCGACGACGCUUCAGUCUGCCUUGUCCUCGCCGUUUUUGGCCCACCCCCGGCUCAUGGCGGCCACCACGAUGCCGUACAUGUUGAGCCACGCUUGACGCAGGGGAGCUGUGUAGGCUUGGCCCAAAUUGCACUGCAGCAUGUAGAGAAGAGACUCCCCCACCACCUGAAACAAACAUAAGUGAACAUGCAGAUACAGCAAAACUGCGACGUGGAAUUGCUCUAAGAUAGUCGGUCCUACAGCGAACGACUGCGGGUUGACCCCCACGGCCUGAUGCUUCCUCCCCAGGUUGAGAAGAAAGUCCUCCAGUGAGUGAAGAUCGUCCAGGUGACUAACGGCUGCAUCUAUCACAAGCAUCACCUAGAAAUGUACGACCCAUAAGUGAAAAAGGCACACGUUUGACUGAAAUGAUGAUGUUGUGCCAUAGCGGGGCUCUAUAUGGACCUACAGUGCAGGCUCCACUUCCUAUUGCUAAUGUUGUGUUCUUCUUUGGCGGCAAACUAGCGUGGAUCAACAGAUCCUCUGCUAGUUACACAACAUAUUGCCUCAAAAACAUUACUCAACAAUCUAUUUCACACAAUCGAGAAGUUAUUGUUGGUCACUUAACUAAUUGAUAUGCCCAUUCCUAUGUAAAACACAAGUUUGAGGGGUGUGACUCUUACCUUGGUGACAUGCUCUAGGAACUCUGGGCUGGAGAGGCAGUCUUGUGUCGUGCCACAAUUUGUGUUGUAGUGGAAUAGAGUGAGGAGUGCUGGGUCCAGCUCGAACAGCCUAGCCAGGACACAAACUACACUGUUGUACAGGUGUGACACACGUUGAAAUCUACAAACCAAACAUAGACAAAGCUCCUAUGCAAGUGUCGGAUUUGGCGGCAAUGCAUUGUGGAUGAUUGCGGGCUGUCGCCAAGCAACUAGUCAAGCCGCCUCUGGUCCGGUGCACGGAAAUAUGUUGCUUGGAUUACAAACAAGAAGCUAACUGUUGGACUCCACUCGAUUGUUACCUGGAAAACAUGAUGAUGCCAUGUGGAACUUUGUUCUUGCCCAGGCUCUCCCAGCUGCUUAGUAUCAGCUCCUUGUCCUUUGCUGACAGCUUCUCCAUCCUCCUUUGAGGCUUUGAGUACUUCUUGAGGUGAAACACAGCUCCUCUACAGGACAAGGUGGCUCAGUUCUUGCAGAUCCAUAACAAGGGAGGAGGUCCUCAGAGGAAACUUCUGCACCUGCAAGACAAAGUGGAACAUCAAAAGAUUGCUGCAGCAAGAUGGGGGGUGCCUGAACACACACACAUACCUUCCAAAAAAGCCACUCUCUCUCCUGUUAUUAUUCAAGCCGCUGAAGGAGAAAGAAAAAUAGAGGGGUAUCGCUCCUUGGUGCUGCUGCUCCAAUCAGGCUGCGGGCUACAGCUCCUCCUGCAGAGCUUUGUGCAGACGACUGAAAUCUGGCACCUGAUGGUUGAUCUUUGGCUGGAAGCUUGGUUUCUCGUCCAGGAAACCAAGCUUUUCUCUUCUGGUCCGCUCUGCUGUGCGAGAUUUGGUUCUCUCGAAGGCUGCAGGCUUCUCUCGUUCAAUGGUACUUACGUGGACUUUCCUGCAAUGGUCCUGAUCUGCACA